Molecule: ribosomal RNA, 422 nt
Filed under: uncultured bacterium
Lineage: Bacteria
Description: bacterial SSU rRNA
Rfam family: Bacterial small subunit ribosomal RNA
Source: RNAcentral
UGAGGAAUAUUGGUCAAUGGGCGGAAGCCUGAACCAGCCAUGCCGCGUGCAGGACGACGGCCCUACGGGUUGUAAACUGCUUUUCCGGGGGAAGAAUAACCCCCCUGCGGGGGGGGAUGCCGGUACCCCGGGAAUAAGGAUCGGCUAACUCCGUGCCAGCAGCCGCGGUAAUACGGAGGAUCCUAGCGUUAUCCGGAUUUACUGGGUUUAAAGGGUGCGUAGGCGGGCGCUUAAGUCCGCGGUGAAAGUCUGCGGCUCAACCGUAGGAUUGCCGUGGAUACUGGGGGUCUUGGAUUCGGUCGGGGCGGGCGGAAUGCGUGGUGUAGCGGUGAAAUGCAUAGAUAUCACGCAGAACGCCGAUAGCGAAGGCAGCUCGCCGGGCCGACAUCGACGCUGAGGCACGAAAGCGUGGGGAUCAAACA